UACGAGGGGGGCAAGCGUUGUUCGGAUUUAUUGGGCGUAAAGGGUGCGUAGGCGGUUUGGCAAGUCUUAUGUGAAAUCUUCGGGCUCAACCCGAAGUCUGCAUAAGAAACUGCCGGGCUUGAGUAUGGGAGAGGUGAGUGGAAUUUCCGGUGUAGCGGUGAAAUGCGUAGAUAUCGGAAGGAACACCUGUGGCGAAAGCGGCUCACUGGACCAUAACUGACGCUGAUGCACGAAAGCUAGGGGAGCAAACAGG
This 253-nucleotide ribosomal RNA is filed under the name uncultured bacterium. RNAcentral describes it as "partial 16S ribosomal RNA". It matches the Rfam family "Bacterial small subunit ribosomal RNA", at positions 524 to 776 of the family's 1533-position model. The record is from RNAcentral.